CUUUAUUGGUUACCUCUUACAUUUCCAAGUUUAUAAAAAAAAGUGGAUAUAUUUCAAAGUAGCACUAUUCUGAUUUUUGGUUCAUGUCUACCAGAAUGUACAAUGUAUCUAAUAUUCUAGAAUGAAUGCUAUUUCUAAAUGUGAAUUAAUUUUGAAAUUAGAGAGACAUUGAAUGCUGGCUUAAUUUGACCUUGUAAUUAUUUCACAUUGGGAUUCAGUAGUACAAUGCAGCUCAAGAAUUGUGUUACAGGUAUGUUUUUAUGCACCUAAAAAAGUUUUGACUUUUUUUUCUUAAAAAAUCUACAUUUUCUGGCUCUCAGUUUUUGCUACAAAGCAUGAACUAAUGUAUAGUUGAAUAGAAUUUUAAAAGUUAUCAUAAUUGGGUAUUUAUCUGUUGAUUGUACUAUUGAUUUAUCUGAUAACAUGAUCAUAGUUAAACCACAUUUGUCCUUUCACUUGUUUGACUAUGUGAUUACUGAUAUUACAAAGAGGGAAACUAGGUUAACAGUAAAUCAUAAUGUAUGGACUUUUGACUUUUGAUCCCCUUAAUAUUAAAACAAGUGAGUUUCAUAAUCAUGUUUAGGAAGAUGAGGAGGUAGCAUAUCAAUGACCGGUUAUUGAGGAUGGGUAUCACAAGAUAUGUGCUACAUUUGUAUAAAGUUUUGCUGUUUUUACAAAUGGCCAAUUAUUUAAUUGCUGUUUUUGAAGCUCAUCAGUGUAACCCCUUCACAUCAGUUGGCUGCUUUGCAAAAAUUCCAGCAUGCAUUUUUAACUGUAAAG
Lingula anatina is the source of this 780-nucleotide long non-coding RNA. NCBI's taxonomy places the organism in Eukaryota, Metazoa, Brachiopoda, Lingulata, Lingulida, Lingulidae. The record is from RefSeq and is a predicted model, not a curated record.